UACGUAGGGUGCAAGCGUUAAUCGGAAUUACUGGGCGUAAAGCGUGCGCAGGCGGUUAUGCAAGACAGAUGUGAAAUCCCCGGGCUUAACCUGGGAACUGCAUUUGUGACUGCAUAGCUGGAGUACGGCAGAGGGGGAUGGAAUUCCGCGUGUAGCAGUGAAAUGCGUAGAUAUGCGGAGGAACACCGAUGGCGAAGGCAGUCCCCUGGGCCUGUACUGACGCUUAUGCACGAAAGCGUGGGGAGCAAACAGG
RNAcentral lists this ribosomal RNA (253 nucleotides) under uncultured bacterium. Its description in RNAcentral is "partial 16S ribosomal RNA". It matches the Rfam family "Bacterial small subunit ribosomal RNA", at positions 524 to 776 of the family's 1533-position model. The record is from RNAcentral.